AUUGAACGCUGGCGGCAGGCCUAACACAUGCAAGUCGAACGAGUGGCGGACGGGUGAGGAAUGUCUGGGAAUCUACUCUGUGGAGGGGGAUAACUUAGGGAAACGUUCGCUAAUCCCGCAUACUAUCGGAUGAGCCCAGUUGGGAUUAGCUAGUUGGCGGGGUAACGGCCCACCAAGGCGACGAUCCCUAGCUGGUCUGAGAGGAUGACCAGCCACACUGGAACUGAGACACGGUCCAGACUCCUACGGGAGGCAGCAGUGGGGAAUAUUGGACAAUGGGCGCAAGCCUGAUGCAGCCAUGCCGCGUGUAUGAAGAAGGCCUUCGGGUUGUAAAGUACUUUCAGUGGGGAGGCGGUACCCACAGAAGAAGCACCGGCUAACUCCGUGCCAGCAGCCGCGGUAAUUC
This 406-nucleotide ribosomal RNA is filed under the name uncultured bacterium. Its description in RNAcentral is "partial 16S ribosomal RNA". It matches the Rfam family "Bacterial small subunit ribosomal RNA", at positions 30 to 526 of the family's 1533-position model. The record is from RNAcentral.